GAAGUAAAAGUCGUAACAAGGUUUCCGUAGGUGAACCUGCGGAAGGAUCAUUAAUGAAUUCACUAUGGAGUUGUUGCUGGCCUCUAGGGGCAUGUGCACGCUUCACUAGUCUUUCAACCACCUGUGAACUUUUGAUAGAUCUGUGAAGUCGUCUCUCAAGUCGUUAGACUUGGUUUGCUGGGAUGUAAACGUCUCGGUGUGACUACGCAGUCUAUUUACUUAUAACACCCCAAAUGUAUGUCUACGAAUGUCAUUUAAAGGGCCUUGUGCCUAUAAACCAUAAUACAACUUUCAACAACGGAUCUCUUGGCUCUCGCAUCGAUGAAGAACGCAGCGAAAUGCGAUAAGUAAUGUGAAUUGCAGAAUUCAGUGAAUCAUCGAAUCUUUGAACGCACCUUGCGCCCCUUGGUAUUCCGAGGGGCAUGCCUGUUUGAGUGUCAUUAAAUUCUCAAACUCACUCUGGUUUUUCCAAUUGUGAUGUUUGGAUUGUUGGGGGCUGCUGGCCUUGACAGGUCGGCUCCUCUUAAAUGCAUUAGCAGGACUUCUCAUUGCCUCUGCGCAUGAUGUGAUAAUUAUCACUCAUCAAUAGCACGCAUGAAUAGAGUUUGGCUCUCUAACCGUCCGCAAGGACAAUUUGACAAUUUGACCUCAAAUCAGGUAGGACUACCCGCUGAACUUAAGCAUAU
Molecule: ribosomal RNA, 686 nt
Filed under: Pleurotus eryngii
Lineage: Eukaryota; Fungi; Basidiomycota; Agaricomycetes; Agaricales; Pleurotaceae
Description: eukaryotic LSU rRNA
Rfam family: 5.8S ribosomal RNA (bases 287-440)
Source: RNAcentral